GAGACGCAGUCUUGCACUGUCACCCGGGCUGGACUGCAGUGGCACGAUCUCGGCUCACUGCAACUUCUGCCUCCCGGGUUCAAGCGAUUCUCCUGUGUCAGCCUCCCAAGUAGCUGGGCUUACAGGUGCCCGCCACCACGCCCAGCUAAUUUUUUGUAUUUUUAGUAGAGAUGGGGUUUCACCACAUUGGCCAGGCUGGUCUCCAACUCCUGACCUUGUGAUUCACCUGCCUUGGCCUCCCAAAGUGCUGGGAUUACAGGCAUGAGCCACCGCGCCUGGCCCAUGCUCUAUUAUUAUCCAUUUGUUCAAAUGACAGACACUGGAGCGGAUGGUUAACAAAAAUGACUUAAGUCAUUAUAUAUUGACUUGAAUAUAUUUCUUCUUUUAUCUUUAACUUCAGUGAUAAUGAAAGUAAUUGAAAUGUCUUUGAAUGUAGAUUUUAUUUAUACAUUUUUUAACUAAAUAUUUGAUCUUUGAAAUAUUAAAAUAUCUAUGUGGUUGGUUCUUUCUCCUUCCCAGUCAGUAUAGAUUUAAGAAGGCUAGAUGUUUUAUUCUGAUCUGAAUAAUACUGUCAUUGAGAAUUCUGAAGGAGAAAGUAUAUAAAAUCAUGUAUAGACAGCGCCGAUGUUUAUGUAUAGAUCCCUCUCUGAGCUCCAAUGUGUCUGUAAUUUCUGCUUAUAGGUGAAACUGCUUAAAAUUCCCAUUAUACCUUUUAUACAAUUUGUGCAAAACGGUAAUAUUUCUCUUAACGGAAGAAGUAAACUCAUGCAUCAAGCUGAUGAUAAUUGAUAAGGCAUUAGUAAUUUCAUUCUGAGGAUAAUUAUAAACCUGUAUUUGUGCUAAUAAAAUAUAAAAAUUCUUGGACUAACCAUGAACUGAGCAUAAUAAUGGUUUUAACAGCAGUGCUCUCCCAUUAUAUAAACAGUUCAGAGACUAUGGAAUAUUUGCACGAAUUGGUUGUAUACUUGGAAAAUGGUAGCCCCCUUUUAUUUUACAUAACAUGCACCCCUCCCUAGUUAGAAUACUGUGUCUUGAUGUGAGCAUAUGGACUAUGGAGUGUGUUGAAUAGCAUUUGCUGUAAAACUAGAACUAUAAACCCUGAAUUUGGUGUCUUAUUCUCCCAAAUGGGUUCUGUAAAGGGAGCACUCAUAUAGGGAAGGAUUUAAUGUACUGUCAAUUAAAAGUUUUUGCAUAGUAAAAUGUUUCUAUUUGUUUUAAAAUAGCUUUAGGUUGGUCUCAGCCUUGUGAUGUUUGGAGCAUAGGUUGCAUUCUUAUUGAAUAUUACCUUGGUUUCACAGUCUUUCAGGUACGUGGCUAGUAAAUUCCAUUUAAUAAUUCAUAACAAAUUGUAAACGUUAAAGGUAUGCUAAAGUUUUGACUUCCAUAUUGGAAAAUUGCCAUACAUCAUUAUUCUUGAGAUUAAAACUUAGGCAAAAUGGUCAUUCUUUAAAACCACAGUUGAAUGAAAUAUUACUAUGAGUGAGUGAUCAUAGUUAAUUUUGCAUGUGAUUAGUGUUUGUAACACAUGGUUCAUAUAUGGUUCAUACUGUCUCCUUUUUUAAAUUGUAGAGCUUCUUCAUAAAUUUGCAGUAGUGUUAAUGUGGCCAGUUUUCAGUUAUAGUUAUGUUGACUAUCAAUAUGGCCAUGAACGAGUCACUUAUUCCUUUUUAUAAAAGAAUUCAGAAACAACAAGGGAUUGUAUUUUACUCUUAAGUAUUAAGCAUCUAUAAUGUCUUAGGCAUUUCUAAGUAUAAGUACAUAAAGGUGAAGAGACAACAUCUUUCUCAAGUCAUGCAAAAGACAUUGGAAAGUUAUCGCAGUAUAGUGUAGCAUUUGCUGUGAUGGAACAACGUAGAAAGUGUAGGUAGGGAGGGCCAGGCGGGGUAGCUCACACCUGUAAUCCCAGCACUUUGGGAGGCUGAGGUGGGUGGAUCAUGAGGUCAGGAGAUCGAGACCAUCCUGGCUAACAUGGUGAAAC
Molecule: long non-coding RNA, 1978 nt
Filed under: Homo sapiens (human)
Lineage: Eukaryota; Metazoa; Chordata; Mammalia; Primates; Hominidae
Description: HSALNT0098750
Source: RNAcentral